Pongo pygmaeus (Bornean orangutan) is the source of this 2380-nucleotide long non-coding RNA. RefSeq lists it as uncharacterized. Lineage: Eukaryota; Metazoa; Chordata; Mammalia; Primates; Hominidae. The transcript has 3 exons. The record is from RefSeq and is a predicted model, not a curated record.
AUAUCAGUGUUUUCACUGUUCUGAACCCAGCACCUAGCACAGCUCCUGAUAGAGCUGUGUCAAACAUGACAGAACUCCUGAUAGAGCUGAGUCAACAUGUCCGUUCAAUGAGUGGAUAGGAGUGGGCUAUCCCAAUGCAAAUUUCAAAGCUCUCAGCAAGACAAGGUGGAGGUUUCAGCUGUCAAUCACUAUGGGGAAAAUAAACAAAACAGCAAAGACUGUGAAGAGGUCAAAGAAGCAGAGCUCUCUUCAUGGCUGUCACUGGCUGGUGGUUCCUGUAUUCUCUUUUAAAUGAUGACUUCAAAGGUUCCCAAGAAGGGGACUGAGCACUUCUCUAGCCAUGUCUGGGGUCUCACUGACAGCCCUUGACCACUUAGAAGUGAAACGAGUCUGCUCAGACUCUCACCCGUGACCCUGGCUGCCAAGUCCUGCAGGGGCUGGAGGUAUUCUCAACUCCCCCCAGCCUGCAUCAGCUCCUGGAGGCAGCCCAGAUUUCUUGGAUCAUAGCCCCCUUUGUCUUUAAAGCCAUCCAAGGUUCGUGGAGUCUUUCCCAGAUCACAUGUUCUUGACACACACACUCAUCCAUCUUCUAAAGACCCAUGUGAGUAUGCUGGGCCCACCUGAAUAAUCCAGGACACUCUAUUUUAAGGUCAGUCGAUUAGCAGCAUUAUUUCCAUCAAUAAACUUAAUCCCCCCUUACCAUGUAGGGAACAUAUUCACAGGUUUGGGGGAUUAGGACAUGGACAUCUUUUAGGGGAGGCAGUUUUCUUUCUUUCAUAACUGGUUACAAUUGACUUCUGCUCCUUGAAAUUUGUCCCUUUCCUCCGAAUAUAAGAAAUAUCAGCUGGAAAGACAGCUUCCAACUCCAGGUAAAGCUGGUCUUCUCCCCCGUCACCUAAAGUUCCUACAUGGACAGACACUGGCCUAAGUUUCUCAUAAAGAACCAGCAGAUGCCAGCUUUCCAGGAAGCUCGCUCCCCCAGUAACAAGAAGCCUCUUCAAGGACCCUCUGUCCUUUGAAGACCUCACUCUUAGAUCAUAUUUCUGGUCUGAGGGAGCCUCUGUUCAUGGCACAGUGCUGUGGCCAAGAGGCUGAUAUGCCUAGACACCACAAAGAAUCCUGCUGCUGGGUGCACUCUGCACCUACCCCACAAGGAUUUUAUGACACCCUCCAGGAUUCCACUCUUGGGAAUGGCCUCUAGAGUGAGAAUUUGCCAUCUAAAAUAGUUUGAACAAUGGAAACAAGAAUCCAUAUAUGUGUGUGUGUGUGUGUGUGUGUAUGUGUAUGUGUGUGUGUGUGUAUAAUUUGUAAGACGGAAGGAGGAGAAGUUUGCCAACCACCUGUCACAAGGUGAUAGGCACUGCUCUGUGUGCCAUGUCACCAAUCCCAUGCUCUGCACAGCAGGCUGCUAUAGGGCUGCAUUCUGGAUCCACCCCUGUGCCACCUUGGCCAAGCUACGGCAGCUCCUUGAGCUUCAGUUUUGUUCUUCCCCAAAUGCGAAAGGCUAAUUUGAAGAGUGAGGAAAAGAUAGCAGGUGUGUAGCUCCCUACUCCUCCCUGCACCAUUUGCCUCUCCCCUCCCUUCUAACUCAGUUUUCCACACUUCUCUCUCAUUGUUCUCAUUCUGCUUCAUUUCUUUCCAAAGAGCCUAGAAAUAACAUGUUGCUAUUUUCAGCACCCCUUUCCCCCAUCCUGACACAUAUACGUAUACAUAUACACAUACACACAAACACACAUGCACACACACUGGAUAGAGAUGUGGAGAUGGUGUGGCGAUGCCUUGUCCUCCCCAAGUCAAGCCUGGUUUGUGCAUGGAGAGGAGCUAAACCCACAAGAAGAAGGAACUGAGCACACAGCAGGAAGGCUUGAGCAUUAUGGCUGUAGGAGGGGAAGUAUUUGGGAUCAUUUGAAUUAACACCCACACAGCUUUCCGAUUUGAGAGCCCCAUUCCAUUACCCUGGCCCAGUACUGCUCUGCUGUGUCCUAAACUCUUUCUCUUCUACCAUAGGGAUGCUGAGCAGGUGAGCAGCACCACAGAGUGGGGAGUGGAGUGGGGGGAUUGGUCAGCUGCUGAAUCCACCAGCAAUGAUUUCUGGACCAGAAUCAGCCCAAGCAACAUCCUUCCCUACUGGAAAAACCUAAACUCAAAGUGCCAGACAAACACGGCUCUUCAGCACUCCCUGAUGGGUGCUGUGCUUCUUUCUAGACCCCAUUUAUAAAUUUGAACUGAACAGAUGUGUUACAUGGAAAUACUUUAAAACAUUAUUAGGAACAGAUUUUGCAUUAGUGGUAAUAAAUCCAUACCGGCAGUCACUUCUUAUUUUUGCCUGUUUGAUAACUUGAAAAACAAAUUCUGUUCCAGAAUAAAUUUGGGUAAAUGG